This 944-nucleotide ribosomal RNA is filed under the name Escherichia coli. RNAcentral's name for it is "partial 23S ribosomal RNA". It matches the Rfam family "Bacterial large subunit ribosomal RNA", at positions 1917 to 2855 of the family's 2925-position model. Lineage: Bacteria; Pseudomonadati; Pseudomonadota; Gammaproteobacteria; Enterobacterales; Enterobacteriaceae. The record is from RNAcentral.
GCCCCGGUAAACGGCGGCCGUAACUAUAACGGUCCUAAGGUAGCGAAAUUCCUUGUCGGGUAAGUUCCGACCUGCACGAAUGGCGUAAUGAUGGCCAGGCUGUCUCCACCCGAGACUCAGUGAAAUUGAACUCGCUGUGAAGAUGCAGUGUACCCGCGGCAAGACGGAAAGACCCCGUGAACCUUUACUAUAGCUUGACACUGAACAUUGAGCCUUGAUGUGUAGGAUAGGUGGGAGGCUUUGAAGUGUGGACGCCAGUCUGCAUGGAGCCGACCUUGAAAUACCACCCUUUAAUGUUUGAUGUUCUAACGUUGGCCCGUAAUCCGGGUUGCGGACAGUGUCUGGUGGGUAGUUUGACUGGGGCGGUCUCCUCCUAAAGAGUAACGGAGGAGCACGAAGGUUGGCUAAUCCUGGUCGGACAUCAGGAGGUUAGUGCAAUGGCAUAAGCCAGCUUGACUGCGAGCGUGACGGCGCGAGCAGGUGCGAAAGCAGGUCAUAGUGAUCCGGUGGUUCUGAAUGGAAGGGCCAUCGCUCAACGGAUAAAAGGUACUCCGGGGAUAACAGGCUGAUACCGCCCAAGAGUUCAUAUCGACGGCGGUGUUUGGCACCUCGAUGUCGGCUCAUCACAUCCUGGGGCUGAAGUAGGUCCCAAGGGUAUGGCUGUUCGCCAUUUAAAGUGGUACGCGAGCUGGGUUUAGAACGUCGUGAGACAGUUCGGUCCCUAUCUGCCGUGGGCGCUGGAGAACUGAGGGGGGCUGCUCCUAGUACGAGAGGACCGGAGUGGACGCAUCACUGGUGUUCGGGUUGUCAUGCCAAUGGCACUGCCCGGUAGCUAAAUGCGGAAGAGAUAAGUGCUGAAAGCAUCUAAGCACGAAACUUGCCCCGAGAUGAGUUCUCCCUGACUCCUUGAGAGUCCUGAAGGAACGUUGAAGACGACGACGUUG